CCCUUAGAUGUUCUGGGCCGCACGCGCGCUACACUGAUGCAUUCAACGAGCCUAUCCUUGACCGCCAGGUCCGGGUAAUCUUUGAAUCUGCAUCGUGACGGGGAUAGAUUAUUGCAAUUAUUAAUCUUCAACGAGGAAUGCCUAGUAGGCGCAAGUCAUCAGCUUGCGUCGAUUACGUCCCUGCCCUUUGUACACACCGCCCGUCGCUCCUACCGAUUGGGUGUGCUGGUGAAAUGUUCGGAUCGGCCGUUUGUCGCGGUUUCCGCGUCAUGUGGCUGAGAAGUUCAUUAAACCCUCCCACCUAGAGGAAGGAGAAGUCGUAACA
Molecule: ribosomal RNA, 325 nt
Filed under: uncultured eukaryote
Lineage: Eukaryota
Description: partial 18S ribosomal RNA
Rfam family: Eukaryotic small subunit ribosomal RNA
Source: RNAcentral